This 1097-nucleotide long non-coding RNA is filed under the name Homo sapiens (human). Its description in RNAcentral is "FOXP3 regulating long intergenic non-coding RNA". Lineage: Eukaryota; Metazoa; Chordata; Mammalia; Primates; Hominidae. The record is from RNAcentral.
GGGGGCGGGAUGAUCGAGGAAUCAAUGGAGAGGCCGGAAUGGGGGUGGUGCGAAAUCCAUGAUGAAGAAAACAGAAGCAGACAGCUAAUGCGGAAGUCUGAGCGAGAGAGGCAUGUGGGCGGUGGGAAAAGUGGAAUGGCUACAGGCGAUGAGGGCAGCCGGGAACGAACGCAGAGGCCCAAAAAGUGGGAGAUCCCGCGGGUUGCGUAGGCGGUGGAACGGUAGCUAGAGAGAGAGAACAGCCAAUGGAGAGCCACGCGUGGGAUGACGACAAUGGCUGCAGCGAGCCAAUGGGGAGGCUUGUGAGCGUGCACUGCGGCUUCGAAGGGGUGGUGCCAAGGUGGAGCUAGCCAAUACGAAGGCUAAAAGGAGACCAAGAGGCGGGUGUGUAGGGAGCCGAGCCAAUGGAGGUCUGAAGCCAGUCUUGUAGAGGGCUGGAGUGGUUGUUGGACGACUAGAACCCUGGGCUUUGCAGGGUGCUGGGAGCUGGAAGUCUUCACCAUGGCCUGUCAGGAGAAGCCCCUGGGGGCUGGUCUACCAUGCUGACCAGUGGUUGAAUAGAGUGCCUGCUGAGGUCAAGAGAUGCAGCCGCCAAUUCCUGGACAACCUAAAAGCCUCACAAGCUUCAAGUCUCCAAGGACUCUCCAAAUCCCAGGAUCUCCCUGCCAUCACAUCCUAGAAUUUAAAACCUGAGAACAUCAAGUUCAGGAAAGCUUGGGGAUUUCAAAGCCCAGCACCAAAGAAAGCGGGACCCACACUCGCCAGCUCUGUGAUCUUGGGCAAGUUGCUUGACUACUUAUACCUCCGUUUCCCUCAUCUGUAUAACAGGAAUACAAUAAUGAUGAGAUGGAGCUCAAGGGGCCAUGGUGAGGAUUGAACAUGAUCACUUGUGAGACAUGUUCAGCACUGUAUCUGACCCAUGGAAAAUUCAAGAUAAACAUCAGCUACUGAGAUGAUGGCGGAUAUUUGGAAUCCUAAAUCCUUGGAAACUGGGGCUUUUUGAAGUAAAAGACCCCAAAGGCUGAGGGCCUCAGAAGCAUCAGGCCAUGAUGUUCCUGAAACAAGAGGGUCAGGGUCCCAAUGGGCCUCUGGGGUUC